UGCGUAGGCGGAUUAAUAAGUCAGUGGUGAAAUCUUUCGGCUCAACCGAGAAACUGCCAUUGAUACUGUUAAUCUUGAGUUCGGUUGAGGUAGGCGGAAUGUGUAAUGUAGCGGUGAAAUGCUUAGAUAUUACACAGAACACCAAUUGCGUAGGCAGCUUACUAGACCGACACUGACGCUGAGGCACGAAAGCGUGGGGAGCGAACAGGAUUAGAUACCAUGGUAGUCC
This 229-nucleotide ribosomal RNA is filed under the name uncultured bacterium. RNAcentral's name for it is "partial 16S ribosomal RNA". It matches the Rfam family "Bacterial small subunit ribosomal RNA", at positions 568 to 796 of the family's 1533-position model. The record is from RNAcentral.